UGUCUGCGGAAAUGAAGGAUAAGUUUGAGAAGUAUUGGUCAGAUAUCCAUGGUCUUAUGUCUAUUGCAACGGUUCUUGAUCCAAGGUAUAAACUUCAUAUUCUCAAUGCUCUCUAUGGUCCCCUCUAUGGAAGAGAGCAUGCAGCCACAGAAAUAGAGAAGGUGAAGAAGUUAUUGAUUCAAUUGAUGAAGAAAUAUGAAGAUGAAGUUGAAGGGGAGGAUACAUGGGAUGCUUCUGUUGUUGAGCCAGCUGGAGAAGAAGAUGAAGCACUGAAACUGUAUGAUCUAUAUUUGUCUAGUCGCCCAGCUGUCCCAUCUUCAUCCAUCCAUACAGAAUUGGACAUGUAUUUGGAAGAAGCUAGUCUGCCUAGAACACAAGAAUUGGAUAUCAUCAAUUGGUGGAAGGUUAACGGCACAAGGUUUCCUACCUUGUAAAAACUGGCUCGUCAUAUAUUGCCUAUUCCCAUAACAUCUGUAGCUUCUGAAUGUGCAUUCAGCACUAGUGGAAGAGUACUAAGUGCACAUCAUAGUAGACUUACUCCUAAUGUGGCUGAAUCUCUAAUGUGCAUGCAAGCUUGGUCUCGUGCAGAUCUCUUAGGUGGUUGGGAUUCUACACUAUUUGCUACAUUUCAGAGUGUUCUUGAGGAUGAAGAAGAAGAGAUGGAUGAAUCUACUUCAAUCAUAACCGAAGAGUGAAGAUACGGAUGCCGUUUGUGCUGACUUGGUGCCUUGGUGGCGAUGGUUGCUGUCUACAAGCUGUUGUUUGCGCUGGCUGCUAAUCGAGUGUUGAUUGAUGGGUACUACGGAAGGUUGUUGUUUUUUAGUUGUCAAGUGAUAAUCACUCCAUUU
Molecule: long non-coding RNA, 848 nt
Organism: Lolium rigidum
Lineage: Eukaryota; Viridiplantae; Streptophyta; Magnoliopsida; Poales; Poaceae
Exons: 3
Source: RefSeq, a predicted model, not a curated record